Molecule: ribosomal RNA, 465 nt
Filed under: uncultured bacterium
Lineage: Bacteria
Description: partial 16S ribosomal RNA
Rfam family: Bacterial small subunit ribosomal RNA
Source: RNAcentral
GACGAACGCUGGCGGUGUGCUUAACACAUGCAAGUCGAACGGUAAGGCCCUUUCGGGGGUACACGAGUGGCGAACGGGUGAGUAACACGUGAGUAACCUGCCCUCAUCUCUGGGAUAACAGUCGGAAACGGUUGCUAAUACUGGAUAUGAGCCUGCAAGGCAUCUUGUGGGUUGGAAAGAUUUUUUGGUUGGGGAUGGACUCGCGGCCUAUCAGCUUGUUGGUGAGGUAGUGGCUCACCAAGGCUUCGACGGGUAGCCGGCCUGAGAGGGCGACCGGCCACAUUGGGACUGAGAUACGGCCCAAACUCCUACGGGAGGCAGCAGUGGGGAAUAUUGCACAAUGGACGGAAGUCGGAUGCAGCAACGCCGCGUGCGGGAUGACGGCCUUCGGGUUGGAAACCGCUUUCAAUUGUGACGAAGCUUUUUGUGACGGUAGCAGUAGAAGAAGCACCGGCUAACUACGUG